AAGCGUCCAGCAAGCCUUUUAUUCUUGCGUUUGACCUCGGAUCAGGUAGGGAUACCCGCUGAACUUAAGCAUAUCAAUAAGCGGAGGAAAAGAAACCAACAGGGAUUGCCCUAGUAACGGCGAGUGAAGCGGCAUCAGCUCAAAUUUGAAAUCUGGCUCUUUCAGAGUCCGAGUUGUAAUUUGCAGAGGGCGCUUUGGCGUUGGCAGCGGUCCAAGUUCCUUGGAACAGGACGUCACAGAGGGUGAGAAUCCCGUACGUGGUCGCUGGCCUUCACCGUGUAAAGCCCCUUCGACGAGUCGAGUUGUUUGGGAAUGCAGCUCUAAAUGGGAGGUAAAUUUCUUCUAAAGCUAAAUACUGGCCAGAGACCGAUAGCGCACA
RNAcentral lists this ribosomal RNA (379 nucleotides) under Pleosporales sp. PSU-ES39. Its description in RNAcentral is "eukaryotic LSU rRNA". It matches the Rfam family "Eukaryotic large subunit ribosomal RNA", at positions 1 to 346 of the family's 3401-position model. The record is from RNAcentral. Lineage: Eukaryota; Fungi; Ascomycota; Dothideomycetes; Pleosporales.